RNAcentral lists this ribosomal RNA (492 nucleotides) under uncultured bacterium. RNAcentral describes it as "partial 16S ribosomal RNA". It matches the Rfam family "Bacterial small subunit ribosomal RNA", at positions 29 to 507 of the family's 1533-position model. The record is from RNAcentral.
AGUGAACGCUGGCGGUAGGCCUAACACAUGCAAGUCGAACGGCAGCACAGUAAGAGCUUGCUCUUACGGGUGGCGAGUGGCGGACGGGUGAGGAAUACAUCGGAAUCUACUUUUUCGUGGGGGAUAACGUAGGGAAACUUAUGCUAAUACCGCAUACGACCUACGGGUGAAAGCAGGGGAUCUUCGGACCUUGCGCGUUUGACUGAGCCGAUGUCGGAUUAGCUAGUUGGCGGGGUAAAGGCCCACCAAGGCGACGAUCCGUAGCUGGUCUGAGAGGAUGAUCAGCCACACUGGAACUGAGACACGGUCCAGACUCCUACGGGAGGCAGCAGUGGGGAAUAUUGGACAAUGGGCGCAAGCCUGAUCCAGCCAUACCGCGUGGGUGAAGAAGGCCUUCGGGUUGUAAAGCCCUUUUGUUAGGAAAGAAAAGCAGCAGGUUAAUACCCCGCUGUUCUGACGGUACCCAAAGAAUAAGCACCGGCUAACUUCGUG